Molecule: ribosomal RNA, 393 nt
Filed under: uncultured bacterium
Lineage: Bacteria
Description: partial 16S ribosomal RNA
Rfam family: Bacterial small subunit ribosomal RNA
Source: RNAcentral
AUACGGAGGAUCCGAGCGUUAUCCGGAUUUAUUGGGUUUAAAGGGUGCGCAGGCGGGAGAUUAAGUCGGCGGUGAAAUUUUGCAGCUCAAAUGUAAAAGGGCCUUCGAAACUGGUUUCCUUGAGUGUAGAUGAAGUAGGCGGAAUUUGUGGUGUAGCGGUGAAAUGCAUAGAUAUCACGAGGCACUCCGAUUGCGCAGGCAGCUUACUAAACUACUACUGACGCUCAGGCACGAAGGCGUGGGGAUCAAACAGGAUUAGAUACCCUGGUAGUCCACGCAGUAAACGAUGAUUACUAGCUGUUUGCGAUACAAUGUAAGCGGCUGAGCGAAAGCGUUAAGUAAUCCACCUGGGGAGUACGUUCGCAAGAAUGAAACUCAAAUGAAUUGACGGGG